GAAUGCUGACAUAAGUAACGAUAAAGCGGGUGAAAAGCCCGCUCGCCGGAAGACCAAGGGUUCCUGUCCAACGUUAAUCGGGGCAGGGUGAGUCGACCCCUAAGGCGAGGCCGAAAGGCGUAGUCGAUGGGAAACAGGUUAAUAUUCCUGUACUUGGUGUUACUGCGAAGGGGGGACGGAGAAGGCUAUGUUGGCCGGGCGACGGUUGUCCCGGUUUAAGCGUGUAGGCUGGUUUUCCAGGCAAAUCCGGAAAAUCAAGGCUGAGGCGUGAUGACGAGGCACUACGGUGCUGAAGCGACAAAUGCCCUGCUUCCAGGAAAAGCCUCUAAGCAUCAGGUAACAUCAAAUCGUACCCCAAACCGACACAGGUGGUCAGGUAGAGAAUACCAAGGCGCUUGAGAGAACUCGGGUGAAGGAACUAGGCAAAAUGGUGCCGUAACUUCGGGAGAAGGCACGCUGAUAUGUAGGUGAAGCGACUUGCUCGUGGAGCUGAAAUCAGUCGAAGAUACCAGCUGGCUGCAACUGUUUAUUAA
This 533-nucleotide ribosomal RNA is filed under the name Escherichia coli O25b:H4-ST131. Its description in RNAcentral is "partial 23S ribosomal RNA". It matches the Rfam family "Bacterial large subunit ribosomal RNA", at positions 1292 to 1810 of the family's 2925-position model. The record is from RNAcentral. Lineage: Bacteria; Pseudomonadati; Pseudomonadota; Gammaproteobacteria; Enterobacterales; Enterobacteriaceae.